Molecule: ribosomal RNA, 517 nt
Filed under: uncultured bacterium
Lineage: Bacteria
Description: bacterial SSU rRNA
Rfam family: Bacterial small subunit ribosomal RNA
Source: RNAcentral
AAUAGAUACCCAGGUAGUCCCAGCCGUAAACGAUGAGCACUGGGCGGGGGGCCCUCCGACGGGCUCCCAGCCGCAGGGAAACCGUGAAGUGCUCCGCCUGGGGAGUAUGGCCGCAAGGCUGAAACUCAAAGGAAUUGACGGGGGCCCGCACAAGCGGUGGAGCAUGUGGUUCAAUUCGACGCAACGCGAAGAACCUUACCUGGGCUCGAAGUGCAGAUGAUCAUCGGCGAAAGUCGACUUCCGCAAGGACAUCUGCAGAGGUGCUGCAUGGCUGUCGUCAGCUCGUGUCGUGAGAUGUUGGGUUAAGUCCCGCAACGAGCGCAACCCUUGUUCUCUGUUGCCAUCAGGUCAAGCUGGGCACUCUGAGGAGACUGCCGGUGACAAACCGGAGGAAGGUGGGGAUGACGUCAAGUCAGCAUGGCCUUUAUGUCCAGGGCUACACACGUGCUACAAUGGCCGGUACAAACCGUUGCGAGCCCGCGAGGGGGAGCUAAUCGGAGAAAGCCGGUCUCAGUUC